This 216-nucleotide ribosomal RNA is filed under the name Glomeromycotina sp. RNAcentral's name for it is "partial small subunit ribosomal RNA". The stretch from base 40 to 216 matches the Rfam family "Eukaryotic small subunit ribosomal RNA", at positions 686 to 864 of the family's 1831-position model. The record is from RNAcentral. Lineage: Eukaryota; Fungi; Glomeromycota.
GGGUCAGUAGGUUGGUCGUGCCACCGGUACGUACUGGUCUCACUGAUUCCUCCUUCCUGAAGAACCGUAAUGCCAUUAAUCUGGUGUUGCGGGGAAACAGGACAGUUACUUUGAAAAAAUUAGAGUGUUUAAAGCAAGCUAACGCUUGAAUACAUUAGCAUGGAAUAAUGAAAUAGGACGAUCGAUCCUAUUUUGUUGGUUUCUAGGAUUGACGUA